This 118-nucleotide ribosomal RNA is filed under the name Castor canadensis (American beaver). Lineage: Eukaryota; Metazoa; Chordata; Mammalia; Rodentia; Castoridae. The record is from RNAcentral.
GUCUAUGGCCAUACCACCUUGAAUGCUUCCGAUCUCAUCUGAUCUCGGAAGCUACACAGGGUCAGGACUAGUUCUUACUUGGAUGUGAGACAAAUCUUCAGAACAGGCUGCUCAGAAA